This 76-nucleotide transfer RNA is filed under the name Rickettsia rhipicephali. RNAcentral's name for it is "tRNA-Ala". It matches the Rfam family "tRNA". Rfam says of the family: Transfer RNA (tRNA) molecules are approximately 80 nucleotides in length. Lineage: Bacteria; Pseudomonadati; Pseudomonadota; Alphaproteobacteria; Rickettsiales; Rickettsiaceae. The record is from RNAcentral.
GGGGUCAUAGCUCAGUUGGUAGAGUGUUUGAAUGGCAUUCAAAAGGUCGGGGGUUCGAUUCCCCCUGUCUCCACCA